CGGUUUGCGUGGCAAGCCACGUGAUUAAAAGGGAACCGGGUGAGAAUCCCGGACAACCGCCAUUACCGUAUCAGAUGAGGGAAUACCCGUACAUCCGCAUUGCCAUUGGGAAACUGAGAAGGCGCGGGUGUAUGUAUAUCGUAAAGGAUAUACUAAUCUCAAGCCGGGAGACCUGCCGUCAAAGG
Molecule: non-coding RNA, 185 nt
Filed under: Candidatus Eubacterium faecigallinarum
Lineage: Bacteria; Bacillati; Bacillota; Clostridia; Eubacteriales; Eubacteriaceae
Also listed under: 1 other name
Source: RNAcentral